Molecule: unclassified non-coding RNA, 922 nt
Filed under: Pleurotus eryngii var. elaeoselini
Lineage: Eukaryota; Fungi; Basidiomycota; Agaricomycetes; Agaricales; Pleurotaceae
Source: RNAcentral
GUGCUAGAAACGAUGAUGUUGGUCCCGCACAUGUAACUAGUGUUAAAAUAGAGCUUUGCUCGUAAACCAAAUCAGGUGGACUCGGUUAACCUUGCGGAAAUGCUGGGUUGGCUCGUCUACGAAUUGUAAUAAUUAUAUGCGCGGGGGUGAAUCCUUUGCAGACGACUUGAAUGGGAACGGGGUACUGUAAGCGGUAGAGUAGCCUUGUUGCUACGAUCCGCUGAGGUUAAGCCCUUGUUCUAAAGAUUUGUUCAACUAUGUUGAACUCUUUCUUUUCCUAACGGAAUAAAUACCUGAGGGCCGGCUCCAGAGAACUUUGAAUAUGUGAGUGUUCUGUUCCUUGGAAUAGUCACUGUGAUGACUCGCAUUCUCUUCCCCGUCUUACACGACCAUGAGGAGGUAUAAGAGUUGUCUAUUGUUCGCGCAAUAGACUCUAUAACAGUGCACUUGCCAGUGCCAUUCAGUCUGACUCUUUAUCAAUAAGGUCAUCAGCAAUGAAACUGACUUUGGAGUUCUCAUUUCUUAGUGUCUAUUGAUGGAGUCUUUAUUGGGGGAGGAUCACAUUAAACUGGUGAGUUGACUGUGUUUAAAUUGGACUUGUGUACGGAUGAAUCACUUCCUACAUUCGCAGUUUCUAACUCUAGUGUUCUCCGUGACUCGGGGUACUCCUCCAAUACCUAAUGUCUAUAUUCCCCCUUUGUGAUGUUGAACCCAUUGACUCACAAAGCUUGUGGGCCGCCAUUAAGGUGCGCUGGGCAAAAGGUGGGGGUCAACACAAUGAGAGCUCAAUGUGACCUUCCUUUGGAUGUCUGACUUUUAAUGAAGUGCUCGGAAAUUGAAGUCAGUUUACUGACUACAAAAGUCUAGGUCAAAACCUGGUCACAAAGGGUAUUGAUAUCCACGGCCAUAGGACUCUGAAAGC